Molecule: ribosomal RNA, 324 nt
Filed under: uncultured prokaryote
Description: bacterial SSU rRNA
Rfam family: Bacterial small subunit ribosomal RNA
Source: RNAcentral
AGAUUGAACGCUGGCGGCAUGCCUAACACAUGCAAGUCGAGCGGCAGCGCGGGGGCGACCCUGGCGGCGAGCGGCGGACGGGUGAGUAAGGCAUCGGAAUCUGCCCUGAUGUGGGGGAUAACGUAGGGAAACUUACGCUAAUACCGCAUACGACCGAGAGGUGAAAGCGGGGGACCGAAAGGCCUCGCGCAGCAGGAUGAGCCGAUGUCCGAUUAGCUGGUUGGUGGGGUAACGGCCCACCAAGGCGAAGACGGGUAGCUGGUCUGAGAGGACGAUCAGCCACACCGGCACUGAGACACGGGCCAGACUCCUACGGGAGGCAGC